AGAGUUUGAUCCUGGCUCAGGACGAACGCUGGCGGCGUGCUUAACACAUGCAAGUCGAACGGAAUCCAUGUGGUGGUAACACCGCGGAAGAUUUAGUGGCGAACGGGUGAGGAACACGUGAGGAACCUGCCCCAAACUUUGGGAUAACAGUUGGAAACGACUGCUAAUACCAGAUGCCGUUACUUUGUCGCAUGGCGAGGUAACGAAAGUUUUUCGGUUUGGGAGGGCCUCGCGGCCUAUCAGCUUGUUGGUGAGGUAAUGGCUCACCAAGGCAACGACGGGUAGCUGGUCUGAGNGGAUGAUCAGCCACACUGGGACUGAGNCACGGCCCAGNCUCCUACGGGAGGCAGCAGUGGGGAAUCUUGCGCAAUGGGCGAAAGCCUGACGCAGCAACGCCGCGUGCGGGAAGAAGGCCUUACGGUUGUAAACCGCUUUCAGCAGGGAAGAAAAUGACUGUACCUGCNGAAGAAGGUGCGGCCAACUACGUGCCAGCAGCCGCGGUGACACGUNNNCACCAAGCGUUGUCCGGAUUUAUUGGGCGUAAAGAGCUCGUNNNCUGUUCAGUUAGUUGGGUGUGAAAACUCCGGGCUUAACCCGGNNCCGCCACCCAAUACUGCUGUGACU
Molecule: ribosomal RNA, 624 nt
Filed under: uncultured bacterium
Lineage: Bacteria
Description: bacterial SSU rRNA
Rfam family: Bacterial small subunit ribosomal RNA
Source: RNAcentral